RNAcentral lists this ribosomal RNA (455 nucleotides) under Phelsuma guttata. RNAcentral describes it as "partial 16S ribosomal RNA". It matches the Rfam family "Bacterial large subunit ribosomal RNA", at positions 1922 to 2574 of the family's 2925-position model. The record is from RNAcentral. Lineage: Eukaryota; Metazoa; Chordata; Lepidosauria; Squamata; Gekkonidae.
UUUUAACGGCCGCGGUAUCCUAACCGUGCAAAGGUAGCAUAAUCACUUGUUCCUUAAUUAGGGACUUGUAUGAACGGUUAAAUGAGGGCAAAACUGUCUCCUACAGUUAAUCAAUGAACUUGAUCAUACAGUACAAACGCUGUAAUUUACUUAUAAGACGAGAAGACCCUGUGGAGCUUUAAACUUCUACAUUAAAUAAAAACUAUAAUAUAAUGUAAAAUUUUAAGUUGGGGCGACUGUGGAGUAAAAAAAAACCUCCAUGAAACUCGACUAACCCUCGUCAUAAAAGGCCAACAAGCCUAACAAAAACGUUUGACCCAAUCAUAUUGAAUACCGAACCAAGUUACCCCAGGGAUAACAGCGCCAUCCCCUUAAAGAGUUCACAUCGCCAAGGGGGUUUACGACCUCGAUGUUGGAUCAAGACUUCCCGGUGGUGUAGCCGCUACCAAAGGUUC